GAUGAACGCUGGCGGUGUGCCUAAUACAUGCAAGUCGAGCGGUAAGGUCUCUUCGGAGAUACACGAGCGGCGGACGGGUGAGUAACGCGUAAGAAUGUACCCCAAAGUGAGGGAUAAGCACCAGAAAUGGUGUCAAAUACCGCAUGUGCUCUUCGGAGUAAAGCUUCGCCGCUUUGGGAACAGCUUGCGUAUGAUUAGCUAGUUGGUAAGGUAAUGGCUUACCAAGGCGACGAUCAUUAGCGGGUCUGAGAGGAUGAUCCGCCACACUGGGACUGAGACACGGCCCAGACUCCUACGGGAGGCAGCAGUAGGGAAUUUUCCACAAUGGGGGCAACCCUGAUGGAGCAACACCGCGUGCAGGAUGAAGGCCUUCGGGUUGUAAACUGCUUUUGUCUGUGACGAAUAUGACGGUAGCAGGCGAAUAAGGAUCGGCUAACUACGUGCCAGCAGCCGCUGUAA
RNAcentral lists this ribosomal RNA (459 nucleotides) under uncultured bacterium. RNAcentral's name for it is "partial 16S ribosomal RNA". It matches the Rfam family "Bacterial small subunit ribosomal RNA", at positions 28 to 523 of the family's 1533-position model. The record is from RNAcentral.